This 512-nucleotide ribosomal RNA is filed under the name uncultured bacterium. RNAcentral describes it as "partial 16S ribosomal RNA". It matches the Rfam family "Bacterial small subunit ribosomal RNA", at positions 28 to 507 of the family's 1533-position model. The record is from RNAcentral.
GACGAACGCUGGCGGCGUGCCUAAUACAUGCAAGUCGAGCGAGCGAAACUAACAGAUUUACUUCGGUAAUGACGUUAGGAAAGCGAGCGGCGGAUGGGUGAGUAACACGUGGGGAACCUGCCCCAUAGUCUGGGAUACCACUUGGAAACAGGUGCUAAUACCGGAUAAGAAAGCAGAUCCCAUGAUCAGCUUUUAAAAGGCGGCGUAAGCUGUCGCUAUGGGAUGGCCCCGCGGUGCAUUAGCUAGUUGGUAAGGUAAAGGCUUACCAAGGCGAUGAUGCAUAGCCGAGUUGAGAGACUGAUCGGCCACAUUGGGACUGAGACACGGCCCAAACUCCUACGGGAGGCAGCAGUAGGGAAUCUUCCACAAUGGACGCAAGUCUGAUGGAGCAACGCCGCGUGAGUGAAGAAGGUUUUCGGAUCGUAAAGCUCUGUUGUUGGUGAAGAAGGAUAGAGGUAGUAACUGGCCUUUAUUUGACGGUAAUCGACCAGAAAGUCACGGCUAACUACGUG